CUACGGGGCGCUGCAGUGAGGAAUAUUGCACAAUGGGGGGAACCCUGAUGCAGCAACGCCGCGUGGAGGAUGACGCAUUUCGGUGUGUAAACUCCUUUUAUAUGUCAAGAAAAUGACGGUAGCAUAUGAAUAAGCACCGGCUAACUCCGUGCCAGCAGCCGCGGUAAUACGGAGGGUGCAAGCGUUACUCGGAAUCACUGGGCGUAAAGGACGCGUAGGCGGGUUGGAAAGUCAGGUGUGAAAUCCUACAGCUUAACUGUAGAACUGCACUUGAAACUUCUAAUCUAGAGUAUGGGAGGGGGAGAUGGAAUUAAUGGUGUAGGGGUAAAAUCCGUAGAUAUCACUAGGAAUACCUAAAGCGAAGGCGAUCUCCUGGAACAUUACUGACGCUAAGGCGUGAAAGCGUGGGGAGCAAACAGGAUUAGAUACUCCCGUAGUC
Molecule: ribosomal RNA, 439 nt
Filed under: uncultured bacterium
Lineage: Bacteria
Description: partial 16S ribosomal RNA
Rfam family: Bacterial small subunit ribosomal RNA
Source: RNAcentral